RNAcentral lists this ribosomal RNA (406 nucleotides) under uncultured bacterium. Its description in RNAcentral is "partial 16S ribosomal RNA". It matches the Rfam family "Bacterial small subunit ribosomal RNA", at positions 30 to 526 of the family's 1533-position model. The record is from RNAcentral.
AUUGAACGCUGGCGGCAGGCCUAACACAUGCAAGUCGAACGAGUGGCGGACGGGUGAGUAAUGUCUGGGAAACUGCCUGAUGGAGGGGGAUAACUACUGGAAACGGUAGCUAAUACCGCAUACCAUCAGAUGUUGCCAGAUUGGCUUAGCUAGUUGGUGGGGUAACGGCUCACCAAGGCGACCAUACCUAGCUGGUCUGAGAGGAUGACCAGACCCACUGGAACUGAGACACGGUCCAGACUUCUACGGGAAGCAGCAGUGGGGAAUAUGGCACAAUGGGAGCAAGCCGGAGGAAGCCAUGCCGCGUGUAUGAAGAAGGCCUUCGGGUUGUAAAGUACUUUCAGCGGGGAGGCGUUACCCGCAGAAGAAGCACCGGCUAACUCCGUGCCAGCAGCCGCGGUAAUAC